GAUGAAGAACGUAGCGAAAUGCGAUAAGUAGGGUGAAUUGCAGAAUUCAGUGAAUCAUCGAAUCUUUGAACGCACAUUGCGCCCCUUGGUAUCCCGAGGGGCAUGCCUGUUCGAGCGUCAUUUCACCACUCAAGCCUGGCUUGGUGUUGGGCGACGUCCCCUUUGGGGACGCGCCUCGAAACGCUCGGCGGCGUGGCACCGGCUUUAAGCGUAGCAGAAUCUUUCGCUUUGGAAGUCGGGGCCCCGUCUGCCGGAAGACCUACUCGCAAGGUUGACCUCGGAUCAGGCAGGGAUACCCGCUGAACUUAAGCAUAUCAAUAAGCGGAGGA
RNAcentral lists this unclassified non-coding RNA (329 nucleotides) under soil metagenome. Its description in RNAcentral is "partial contains 5.8S ribosomal RNA, internal transcribed spacer 2, and large subunit ribosomal RNA". The stretch from base 1 to 120 matches the Rfam family "5.8S ribosomal RNA", at positions 35 to 154 of the family's 154-position model. The record is from RNAcentral.